AUUGAACGCUGGCGGCAUGCCUUACACAUGCAAGUCGAACGGUAACAGGUUAAGCUGCCGCGUGGCGAACGGGUGAGUAAUGUAUCGGAACGUGCCCAGUCGUGGGGGAUAACUGCUCGAAAGAGCAGCUAAUACCGCAUACGACCUGAGGGUGAAAGCGGGGGAUCGCAAGACCUCGCGCGAUUGGAGCGGCCGAUAUCAGAUUAGGUAGUUGGUGAGGUAAAGGCUCACCAAGCCGACGAUCUGUAGCUGGUCUGAGAGGACGACCAGCCACACUGGGACUGAGACACGGCCCAGACUCCUACGGGAGGCAGCAGUGGGGAAUUUUGGACAAUGGGCGCAAGCCUGAUCCAGCCAUGCCGCGUGCGGGAAGAAGGCCUUCGGGUUGUAAACCGCUUUUGUCAGGGAAGAAAAGGUUCUGGCUAAUACCUGGGACUCAUGGCGGUACCUGAAGAAUAAGCACCGGCUAACUACGUG
RNAcentral lists this ribosomal RNA (477 nucleotides) under uncultured bacterium. RNAcentral's name for it is "partial 16S ribosomal RNA". It matches the Rfam family "Bacterial small subunit ribosomal RNA", at positions 30 to 507 of the family's 1533-position model. The record is from RNAcentral.